This 379-nucleotide long non-coding RNA is filed under the name Corvus moneduloides (New Caledonian crow). RNAcentral's name for it is "lncRNA (ENSCMUG00000020135.1)". The record is from RNAcentral. Lineage: Eukaryota; Metazoa; Chordata; Aves; Passeriformes; Corvidae.
GCCACUGGAAAAACAGGAGACACGAGCACUGAAGGCAACCAGGAGGUUUUUAAGAAGCAGGUGGAAAUGAAAACAAGAAAAUGACUGAAAUGGAAAUCUCAAAAACAAGAUUCUCUAGCUUGAUGGCAAGGUAACAAGGAGCAUCACCCAAACAAUAAAGAAGACAUUGAUUGGAAAAGAUCCCUUGGGCAUGUGACAGAAAUAAAUGAUCCAGGGAGAGGGGCUCUUUUCCCACUGUUCUACAAUUAAAAUUCUAUGUGGAAUAUAGCAUUGAAGAAAUAAAUCUUACAGUGUUUAAUCAGAGAAGAUUCAGGGAAAUAAAUCACUAAGGAAACAGUGAAAAAUCUUCUUACAAUGAAUGCAUAAAGGAAAAGGUAAA